This 1440-nucleotide ribosomal RNA is filed under the name uncultured organism. RNAcentral's name for it is "16S ribosomal RNA". It matches the Rfam family "Bacterial small subunit ribosomal RNA". The record is from RNAcentral.
ACGCUAGCUACAGGCUUAACACAUGCAAGUCGAGGGGCAGCAUGGUCUUAGCUUGCUAAGGCCGAUGGCGACCGGCGCACGGGUGAGUAACACGUAUCCAACCUGCCGUCUACUCUUGGACAGCCUUCUGAAAGGAAGAUUAAUACAAGAUGGCAUCAUGAGUCCGCAUGUUCACAUGAUUAAAGGUAUUCCGGUAGACGAUGGGGAUGCGUUCCAUUAGAUAGUAGGCGGGGUAACGGCCCACCUAGUCUUCGAUGGAUAGGGGUUCUGAGAGGAAGGUCCCCCACAUUGGAACUGAGACACGGUCCAAACUCCUACGGGAGGCAGCAGUGAGGAAUAUUGGUCAAUGGGCGAGAGCCUGAACCAGCCAAGUAGCGUGAAGGAUGACUGCCCUAUGGGUUGUAAACUUCUUUUAUAAAGGAAUAAAGUCGGGUAUGGAUACCCGUUUGCAUGUACUUUAUGAAUAAGGAUCGGCUAACUCCGUGCCAGCAGCCGCGGUAAUACGGAGGAUCCGAGCGUUAUCCGGAUUUAUUGGGUUUAAAGGGAGCGUAGAUGGAUGUUUAAGUCAGUUGUGAAAGUUUGCGGCUCAACCGUAAAAUUGCAGUUGAUACUGGAUAUCUUGAGUGCAGUUGAGGCAGGCGGAAUUCGUGGUGUAGCGGUGAAAUGCUUAGAUAUCACGAAGAACUCCGAUUGCGAAGGCAGCCUGCUAAGCUGCAACUGACAUUGAGGCUCGAAAGUGUGGGUAUCAAACAGGAUUAGAUACCCUGGUAGUCCACACGGUAAACGAUGAAUACUCGCUGUUCGCGAUAUACUGCAAGCGGCCAAGCGAAAGCGUUAAGUAUUCCACCUGGGGAGUACGCCGGCAACGGUGAAACUCAAAGGAAUUGACGGGGGCCCGCACAAGCGGAGGAACAUGUGGUUUAAUUCGAUGAUACGCGAGGAACCUUACCCGGGCUUAAAUUGCAGAUGAAUUACGGUGAAAGCCGUAAGCCGCAAGGCAUCUGUGAAGGUGCUGCAUGGUUGUCGUCAGCUCGUGCCGUGAGGUGUCGGCUUAAGUGCCAUAACGAGCGCAACCCUUGUUGUCAGUUACUAACAGGUUCCGCUGAGGACUCUGACAAGACUGCCAUCGUAAGAUGUGAGGAAGGUGGGGAUGACGUCAAAUCAGCACGGCCCUUACGUCCGGGGCUACACACGUGUUACAAUGGGGGGUACAGAGGGCCGCUACCACGCGAGUGGAUGCCAAUCCCCAAAACCUCUCUCAGUUCGGACUGGAGUCUGCAACCCGACUCCACGAAGCUGGAUUCGCUAGUAAUCGCGCAUCAGCCACGGCGCGGUGAAUACGUUCACGGGCCUUGUACACACCGCCCGUCAAGCCAUGGGAGCCGGGGGUACCUGAAGUGCGUAACCGCGAGGAGCGCCCUAGGGUAAAACUGGUGACUG